UGGUUAAAUUAAUAAGGGCAUAUGAGGAAUGACUUGGUACUAAAAGUUGAUGAAGGACGUGACGAACAACGAUAUGCUUCGGGGAGCUGUAAGUAGCUUUGAUCCGGAGAUUUCCGAAUGGGGUAACCCACUAGUGGUAAUGCGCUAGUAUCAUAUAGUAAAUUCAUAGCUAUAUAGAGAGUAACCUGGUGAACUGAAACAUCUAAGUAACCAGAGGAAAAGAAAGAAAAAUCGAUUUCCCUAGUAGUGGCGAGCGAAAAGGAAAGAGCCCAAACCAAUCUUCGGAUUGGGGUUGUAGGACCUUUUUAUAAGAGUAAAAAAAUAAUUGUAUAGUUUAAUUGUUUGGAAAGACAAACCAGAGAAGGUGAUAGUCCUGUGAGCGAAAUACAUUUAUCUCUUUAAGGUAUCCUGAGUACGGCGAGACACGUGAAAUCUUGUCGGAAUCCACGGGGACCAUCCCGUAAGGCUAAAUACUCUUUAGUAACCGAUAGUGAACAAGUACCGUGAGGGAAAGUUGAAAAGAACCCCGGAAGGGGAGUGAAAUAGAUACUGAAAUCAUAUGCUUACAAAAAGUCAAAGCCCGUUAAUGGGUGAUGGCGUGCCUUUUGCAGAAUGAACCGGCGAGUUACGAUAUCAUGCAAGGUUAAGUUGAAUAGACGGAGCCGAAGCGAAAGCGAGUCUUAAUAGGGCGAGUUAGUAUGGUGUCGUAGACCCGAAACCAAGUGAUCUAGCCAUGAGCAGGUUGAAGGUUGGGUAAAACCAAUUGGAGGACCGAACCGAUGUACCCGGAAACGUGCUCGGAUGACUUGUGGCUAGCGGAGAAAUUCCAAUCGAACUUGGAUAUAGCUGGUUCUCCCCGAAAUAGGUUUAGGCCUAGCCUCGAGAUAAUAGUUUAUUGAAGGUAGAGCACUGAAUAAAUGAUGGCUACACAUAGUGGUACUGAAUUUAAUCAAACUCCGAAUGUCAGUAAAUGUUUCUCGGGAGUCAGCGUAUGGGUGAUAACGUCCAUGCGCGAGAGGAAAAGAGUCCAGAUCGCCAGUUAAGGUCCCAAAAUUUAUACUAAGUGGGAAAGGUUGUGGAGUUGUCAAAACAGCUAGGAGGUUUGCUUAGAAGCAGCAAUCCUUUAAAGAGUGCGUAAUAGCUCACUAGUCGAAUGACACUGCGCCGAAGAUGUACCGGGGCUAAGUAUAAUACCGAAACUGCGAAUAUAAUUUUUUUAAAUUAUAUGGUAGGGGAGCGUUCUAAGCGCGCAGAAGAUAGAUCGUGAGGACUAUUGGAGUGCUUAGAAGUGAGAAUGCCGGUGUGAGUAGCGCAAGAUAGGUGAGAAUCCUAUCCACCGAUUGACUAAGGGUUCCUGGGCCAGGUUCGUCCUCCCAGGGUAAGUCAGGACCUAAGAUGAGGCUGAGAAGCGUAGUCGAUGGACAACAGGUUGAUAUUCCUGUACCACUUAUAUAACAGAUGGAAUGACAAAGAAGGCUAGAUUGAGCCAGUUAUUGGAUUCUGGUCUAAGCACAAAGACUGAUAUAUUGGCAAAUCCGUAUAUCGUUCAGUUGAAGUGUGAUGGCGAAGAAAACUUCGGUUUUUUAAGUCGAUUGAAGCCAAGCUUUCAAGAAAAGUUUCUAUGGUUAAUUAUAUAAGUGCCUGUACCGAGAACCGACACAGGUAGUCAAGAAGAGAAUUCUAAGGUGAGCGAGAGAACUAUGGUUAAGGAACUCGGCAAAAUGACCCCGUAACUUAGGGAUAAGGGGUGGUCUAGAGAUAGACCCACAGUAAAGAGUCCCAGGCAACUGUUUACCAAAAACACAGGUCUCUGCUAAGUCGUAAGACGAAGUAUAGGGGCUGACACCUGCCCGGUGCUGGAAGGUUAAGAGGAGAGCUUAGUGUAUGAAGUAAUUCAUUAUUACAAAGGUUUGAAUUGAAGCCCCAGUGAACGGCGGCCGUAACUAUAACGGUCCUAAGGUAGCGAAAUUCCUUGUCAGGUAAGUUCUGACCCGCACGAAUGGCGUAAUGAUCUGGGAGCUGUCUCAACCAUAGGCUCGGUGAAAUCUUAAUACCUGUGAAAAUGCAGGUUACCCGCGACAGGACGGAAAGACCCCGUGGAGCUUUACUGCAGUUUGACAUUGAAAUUUGAUUUGUUAUGUAGAGGAUAGGUGGGAAACUUUGAAGCUAGGACGCCAGUUUUAGUGGAGUUAACCUUGGAAUACCACCCUUAACAAUUUGGGUUUCUAACCUCGAGCCAUGAUCUGGUUCAGGAACAGUGUCUGAUGGGCAGUUUGACUGGGGCGGUCGCCUCCCAAAAAGUAACGGAGGCGCUCAAUGGUUCCCUCAGAAUGGUUGGAAAUCAUUCGUAGAGUGUAAAGAUAUAAGGGAGCUUGACUGCGAGACUUACAAGUCAAGCAGGUGCGAAAGCAGGACUUAGUGAUCAGGCGAUUCAGAAUGGAAUGGUCGUCGCUUAACGGAUAAAAGUUACCCCGGGGAUAACAGGCUUAUACCACCCAAUAGUUCAUAUAGACGGUGGUGUUUGGCACCUCGAUGUCGGCUCGUCUCAUCCUGGAGGUGGAUUCGCUUCCAAGGGUUGGGCUGUUCGCCCAUUAAAGAGGCACGCGAGCUGGGUUCAGAACGUCGUGAGACAGUUCGGUCCCUAUCCGUCGUGGGCGUAGGAAAAUUGAGGAGAUCUGACCUUAGUACGAGAGGACCAGGUUGGACACACCUCUGGUGUAUCUGUUGUCACGCCAGUGGCAGCGCAGAGUAGCUAUGUGUGGAAUAGAUAAUCGCUGAAAGCAUCUAAGCGAGAAACUAACUUCAAGAUGAGUUUUCCCAUAUUUUAUAUAGUAAGAUCCCAGUAAGACUAACUGGUUGAUAGGCUAGGAGUGGAAGCGUAGUGAUACGUUGAGCGGACUAGUACUAAUAGAUCGAGGAUUUAACCAUAUAAC
RNAcentral lists this ribosomal RNA (2933 nucleotides) under Mollicutes bacterium. Its description in RNAcentral is "23S ribosomal RNA". It matches the Rfam family "Bacterial large subunit ribosomal RNA". Lineage: Bacteria; Bacillati; Mycoplasmatota; Mollicutes. The record is from RNAcentral.